This 322-nucleotide long non-coding RNA is filed under the name Malus domestica (apple). Its description in RNAcentral is "long non-coding RNA (MDOM_LNC019152)". The record is from RNAcentral. Lineage: Eukaryota; Viridiplantae; Streptophyta; Magnoliopsida; Rosales; Rosaceae.
CGCUACAUGGGAUGAAAGGCAACUACCUGCAGCGGGAGAGGAGAAGCUCGUAGAAGGUAUGGCAGCUUGGGCGAAGAGGAGUGCCAGGGCAGUUUGAGGCAGAGUGUAAAGCGUCAAGCUUCAUGACCGGCUAGUCGUUUGAUAACGGUCAUUGAAGCUCCUCGCUGAUUUCGAUCAUGGUGGCCAGACUGACGAGCUUGAGGUGAUGCAAAGCGUCGAGCUUCAUGACCGGCUAGUCGUUUGAUAGCGGUCACUAAAGUUCUUCACUGACUUUGAUCAUGGUGGCCAGAGUGACGAGCUUGAGGUAGUUGGUGGAUGCUGA